UUAGCUCCUUGUGGGCGAAAUAAAUACAACUUUCAACAACGGAUUUUUUGGCUCUCGCAUCGAUGAAGAACGCAGGGGAAAAUCGAUAAGUAAUGUGAAUUGCAGAAUUCAGUGAAUCAUCGAAUCUUUGAACGCACCUUGCGCCCCUUGGUAUUCCGAGGGGCAUGCCUGUUUGAGUGUCAUGUUAAUAUCAAACCCCUUGUCUUCGUCGACUCGGCUUGGUUUGGACUUGGAGGUGUUGCCGGCGAUAUACAUAUACAUAUACACAUGUAUAUGUAUGUCGGCUCCUCUUAAAUGCAUUAGCUGGACUUUGGUUCGCAUUGGCGGUGUAAUAGUAAAGUGUUCGCCGGGGUGCUUGCCUAAGGGGUCCGCUUCUAAUCGUCUUCGGACAAGGUCGAGUUCGACCUUUUGUUGGUGUUGACCGUUUGACCUCAAAUCAGGUAGGAUUACCCGCUGAACUUAAGCAUAUCAAUAAGCGGAGGAAAAGAAACUAACGAGGAUUCCCCUAGUAACUGCGAGUGAAGCGGGAAGAGCUCAAAUUUGAAAUCUGGCGGCUUUUGGGUCGUCCGAGUUGUAACCUGGAGAGGCAUUUUCGGCGUUGGACCGUGUACAAGUCUCCUGGAAUGGAGCGUCAUAGAGGGUGAGAAUCCCGUCCAUGGCACGGACCGCCAAUGCUAUGUGAUAUGCCUUCGAAGAGUCGCGUUGUUUGGGAAUGCAGCGCAAAAUGGGUGGUAAAUUCCAUCUAAAGCUAAAUAUUGGCGAGAGACCGAUAGCGAACAAGUACCGUGAGGGAAAGAUGAAAAGCACUUUGGAAAGAGAGUUAAACAGUACGUGAAAUUGUUGAAAGGGAAACGCUUGAAGUCAGUCGCGUUCCGUGGAACUCAGCCUUGCUUCGGUUUGGUGUACUUUCCAUGUGAACGGGUCAACGUCAAUUUUGGGCGGUGGACAAAGGCGAGGGGAAUGUAGCGUCGCUUCGGGGACGUGUUAUAGCCCCUUGUUGUAUACGCCGGCCGGGAUUGAGGACUGCAGCACGCCCCCCUUGUGGGUGGUCGGGGGUUCGCCCCACGUACCCGUGCUUAGGAUGUUGGCAUAAUGGCUUUAAGCGACCCGUCUUGAAACACGGACCAAGGAGUCUAACAUGCUUGCGAGUGUUCGNGUGGAAAACCCUUGCGCGUAAUGAAAGUGAAAGUUGGGAAUCCGUUCUCGCGAGAGAGCGGGUGCACUGACGCCCGGCCCUGAGGUUCUCUGACGGUGCUGCGGUAGAGCAAGUAUGUUGGGACCCGAAAGAUGGUGAACUAUGCCUGAAUAGGGCGAAGCCAGAGGAAACUCUGGUGGAGGCUCGUAGCGAUUCUGACGUGCAAAUCGAUCGUCAAAUUUGGGUAUAGGGGCGAAAGACUAAUCGAACCAUCUAGUAGCUGGUUCCUGCCGAAGUUUCCCUCAGGAUAGCAGAGACUCGGAUCAGAUUUAUGUGGUAAAGCGAAUGAUUAGAGGCCUUGGGGUUGAAACAACCUU
Molecule: ribosomal RNA, 1512 nt
Filed under: Fulvifomes sp. MANO1
Lineage: Eukaryota; Fungi; Basidiomycota; Agaricomycetes; Hymenochaetales; Hymenochaetaceae
Description: eukaryotic LSU rRNA
Rfam family: Eukaryotic large subunit ribosomal RNA (bases 427-1512)
Source: RNAcentral